This 95-nucleotide ribosomal RNA is filed under the name Periophthalmus magnuspinnatus. The record is from RNAcentral. Lineage: Eukaryota; Metazoa; Chordata; Actinopteri; Gobiiformes; Gobiidae.
AUUUUCUCAAAAGUCUGAUCUCAUCAGAUGUCACAAGCUAAGCAGGUUUGGGCCUGGAUAGUACUUGGAUGGGAGACCGCUGGGAAUACCAAGUG